This 2214-nucleotide long non-coding RNA is filed under the name Homo sapiens (human). RNAcentral's name for it is "non-protein coding lnc-NCOA3-5:6". The record is from RNAcentral. Lineage: Eukaryota; Metazoa; Chordata; Mammalia; Primates; Hominidae.
UAUUUAUUUACUUCCUCUACAGUUUUCCUGACUGCUACAUUUCAUGAGAAGGGAUUGUUUAUGAGGGUCAAGGAGCUGGAGGCCUGGGGAGGAGCUGGUGUUUCUGUUCAAGUUUGAGGGUCCUGGAGCUGGAGUCCAGGGGAGGAGCCGGUGCUGCCACUGAUGUCUUAGGGUCGUGGAGCUGAAGAUCCCAGAGGAGCCGGUGCUGCUAUUCUAGCUUGAGUUUCGUGGAGCUGGAGACCCAGGGAGAAGAUGGUGCUGCUGUUCUAAUUUAAGGAUCGUGAAACAGAAGACCCAGAAAGGAGCUGGUGCUGCCGCUGCUCAGAUCUGAGGGUGUUGGAGCUGGAGACUUAGGGAGGAGACGUCUUGUUCUAGUUUCAGGGUCGUGGAGCUGCAGACUGAGGCAGGAGCAUUGUUGUUAUAGUUCGAGGGUCAGAAAGCUGGCGACCCAGGGAGGAGAGGUCUUGUUCUGGUCUGAGGGUCGUGGAGCUGCAGACCCAGGGAGGAGCAAUUUUGUUGUAGUUCGAGGGUCAGGAAGCUGGCGACCCAGGGAGAGGUCUUGUUGGAGUUUGAGGGUCGUGGAGCUGCCAACCCAGGGAGGAGCAAUUUUGUUGUAGUUCAAGGGUCCGGAAGCUGGCGACCCAGGGAGGAGAGGUCUUGAUCCGGUCUGAGGGUCGUGGAGCUACAGACCCAGGGUGGAGCAAUGUUGUUGUAGUUCGAGGGUCUGGUAGCUGGCAACUUGGGGAAGACAAGUCUUGUUCGAGUUCGAGGGUCGUGGAGCUGCAGACCCAGGGAGGAGCCAUUUUGUUGUAGUUCAAGGGUCCGGAAACUGGCGACCCAGGGAGGAGAGGUCUUGUUCUAGUUUCAGGGUCGUGGAGCUUCUGACCCAGGGAGGAGCAUUGUUGUUUUAGUUCGAGGGUCAGGAAGCUGGCGACCCAGGGAGGAGAGGUCUUGUUCUGGUUUGAGGGUCGUGGAGCCGCAGACCCAGGGAGGAGCAAUGUUGAUGUAAGUUGAAGGUCCGGUAGCUGGCACCCUGGGGAGGAGAAGUCUUGUUCGAGUUUGAGGGUCGUGGAGCUGCCGACCCAGGGAGGAGCAAUUUUGUUGUCGUUCGAGUGUCAGGAAGCUGGCGACUCAGGUAGGAGAAAUUUUGUUCUAGUUUCAGGGUUGUGGAGCUGCAGACCCAGGGAGGAGCAAGGUUGUUGUAAUUCGAGGGUCAGGAAGCUGGCGACCCAGGGAGGAGAGGUCUUGUUCUGGUCUGAGGGUCAUGGACCUGCAGACCCAGGGAGGAGCAGUGUUGUUGUAGUUUGAAGGUCAGGAAGCUGGCGGCCCAGGGAGGAGAGGUCUUGUUCUAGUUUGAGGGUCGUGGAGCUGCAGACCCAGGGAGGAGCCAUGUUGGUUUGAAUGUUGUGGAUCUGGAGAUCCACGGAGGAGCUGGUGCUGCCUUUGAAGUCUGAGAGUCACUGAGCUGGAGAUCCAGAGAGGAACCGGUGUUGCUGUUCUAGUCUGAACAGAUCUAGAGUUCUGGGGAGUUGCCGGUUCUGCCUCUCAAGUCUGAGAGUUGUUGAGCUGGAGAUUCAGGGAGGAGCCUGUGUUGCUGUUGUAGUUUGAGGGUCAUGGAGCUGCAGACUCAGGGAGGAGGGGUGCGGUUCUAGUCUGAGGGUUGUGGAGCUUGAGACACAGGGAGGAGCUGGUGCUGCUGUUGUUUAAGGCUGAGGGUUGUGGUGCUGGAGACCCAGGUAAGAGCUGGUGCUGCUGUUGUUUAAGGCUGAGGGUUGUGUAGCUGGACAGUGGGGAGGAGGUAGUCUUAGUGUCUAAUGUGAGGUUGGUGGAGCUGUGGACCUGGGGUGGGGCCGGUGCUACUGUGUAGUUUGAGGGUCAUGGAACUGGAGACCUAGGGAGGAGCUGGUGCUACCACCAUUUAAGUCAGAGGGUCAUGGAUCUGGAGCUUUGGGGAACAGCCCAUGCUGCUGUUUAACUGUGGGGAGGAUGUGCUGUGUCCAUUGAAGUUUGAGGGUUUGGGAGCUGGAGACCCAGGGAGGAGCUGAUGAUGCCAUUCUAUUUUGAGGGUCGUGGAUCUGGGGACCUGGGGAGAGGCUGGUACUGCUGUUGUAGUUUGAGGUUCGUGGAACUGGAGACAGGGGGAGGAGCCGGUGGUGCUGUUCAUGUCUGAGGGUUGUAGAGCUGGAGACCCAGGGAGAAGCCCGUACUACAGCU